RNAcentral lists this unclassified non-coding RNA (241 nucleotides) under uncultured fungus. RNAcentral describes it as "sequence contains ITS1, 5.8S rRNA gene". The record is from RNAcentral. Lineage: Eukaryota; Fungi.
UCUCCGUAGGUGAACCUGCGGAGGGAUCAUUACAGAGUAUCAUGCCCUUCGGGGUAGAUCUCCCACCCUGUGUAUUAUAUACCUUUUGUUGCUUUGGCGGGCCGCCUCGGCCACCGGCUCCGGCUGGUGCGUGCCCGCCAGAGGACCCCAAACUCUGAAUGUUAGUGUCGUCUGAGUACUAUCUAAUAGUUAAAACUUUCAACAACGGAUCUCUUGGUUCUGGCAUCGAUGAAGAACGAGC